AAGCAGCCAGACAUUUAGUUUGAUAUGUCAUUCCAUAAAGCAGCCAGACAUUUAGUUUGAUAUGUCAUUCCAUAAAGCAGCCAGACAUUUAGUUUGAUAUGUCAUUCCAUAAAGCAGCCAGACAUUUAGUUUGAUAUGUCAUUCCACAAAGCAGCCAGAUAUUCCCAUUAGUUUAUGGUAAUUCCGGUUAUUUUUUAUUCUGUUAAUGCUCUUGUCAGAAAGACCUCAGUUGUGUCUAGUUUUAAUGUCUCUGAUCACUUCUGAACCGGUAGUCCUUGUCUGUAAAUGAUGUGUAUUUGUUUUGAUAUCACCUGUGUCAUAAGAUGUGCUCCAACACAGAUCCAAGCGUUAAUAUCCCAGGCUCACCCAUACUGUGUGAGAUGGUAACUGUGUGUUAGAGCAUCUCUCAGCUGGCCUGUCUGUACCUGUAUCCUGGGCUUUGAGCUCUGGGGUGAAGACUGGUGAUUUGUGUGUGGUGACACCCAAUGCCUUCUAAUGGACUGGAGUCCCUCAUCCAUGCUAUUUAUAGAUGACUGUGUCAAAUCUAGUUCAUACACCCCUUCCAACCCCACUGCCUCCACAACAUUUCUGUUGAGUGGAGCCCCCAAGGACUCACUGUUCACUGAGGAUAAAACCUCCGACUGUCUUCGACAACAAGGAGAGGGGAGGUCCGUUAGGCCUGAUCAGGGCAGAGUCACAUGCCAUUUGAUACUGUCAUGACAACCAAUCAGAAAUGUUGUUGAAAUAGAAAUGUUUUUAAAUACGGUAGUGGUGAAAUGCCAUACAGAGAUGAGCUGGGGGAUUUUCCACAGUGGAGCAGUAGAUAUUUAGCCAUAAACCGCUCAAUACUUAAUUUAUUUUUUAGUGAUUACGUUUGUUAAAUUUGUUUAUGCUAUAAGCAAUACAGUUACACAGAAUACCUGAAAACGUCAUGUAGUAUAAGCAUGUGCUAUGCAGUAAACUCUGAAGUGUUCUGCUCUUCAGUGUCCAAGUGUACCUAGUACGGGGACGUUUAGGUUUGUAAUGUAUAUAAGAAGGUGGCUGAUGCAGUCAUUGUACACUGAUCUCUGAGUACUAUUGCUUAUCAGUGCCCACUCUUGGGUGUCUGAAUAUAGUGGAUUUAUUUUGUCAGGUUAGGUUUUUCUUCAGACCCUUAGUUGUCACUAACCUAAGUUCAGCACAGUGUUUUGUUCCAGUCAGCUCAGCCUAUUACCUCCACCUUCCGCUGCCAGGCAGUACUGGCCAAAUCAUGACCAGAGAUGGGUAUGCACGUGUAACUCAAAUUUUGAUGUAAAUCUGUCAUUGACGACUAUGGAUUUGUGCUGAAAUUCAAAUUAUGUGCAUGGAUAUCCAGUUAGAUUUUGGCCUUACGAUCUCUCUUGGUCACGUGUAGCAAUACCUUGUUUAGAUAUGGUAUGAAUGUUAAGGUGUGUAUUCAGCCCUGUAGGGUCAGAGUCUUCUCUUUGGUGAACUUUUACUCUCCAAAAUGUACUGCCUUACCAAGGCCUCUCAGCUGGGCCUGUCUCACAUUUUAUAGGAGAUGGUGUGAAAAAGGACGCUGUCAACAGCCUGCCUGUGUCUGUGCACUGUUGUCAAAUGUUUUGUGAAUGGAUUGCAUCUCAUGUCCCACCUCCCUGGGGGCUCUUCCAGAAAGCUGGAUCAAUGAGUUAGCCAGCUAACGGUCCCCCAAAAAACGUAAAUAACAGCAUUUCUUUUUCGAGAAUUAUGAACUUGAAAUUGGUAAUGGUAUAAUUGACUUGACAACCAACAAUCCAUAUUCAGGUUUAGUUUUCUCAGUGAAAAUUGAGAGAUGUAUUUGGCUGCUUAUCAAAGUUAACUGGCUACGGUAAUGAUCCUGCUUCCUGGAACACUCCACUGCUCAUCAACACACUCUUUCCUAGUUAUUCCUCCAGAUAUUCUUACUUCAGUAAAAUAUCAUUAACAGAACUCCUCACAUGCACAAACAGCACUUCUGUGUCUUACCACCUCCUCUCCUCCCCUUGCCAUGCCACAUGUGUAUCAAACUCAGUAUUCUGGUCUGGGACAACCAUUCUAGGUGCAAGCAGUGCCUCCUGUUUCUUUACCUCUUCCUCUCUGUCUUGAACACAGUAUGUGGCAGUGGCUGUAUGACCACUCUGACUCUCAGCAGACAGGCACAUUAGCAGCACGCCCUCUGUUACACUCAGACUUGCAUCGUCCUCAGACUUCUGCUCGGAGCGUGAAAGUGCUACUUCAGCGGUUUUCUGGGUUCUUCUCUUGACUCUAACCAUCGUAAGAAAGGGAAAACAUUUGACCUGUACGUUUUUGACCUCACUCUUCUUAUUACAAUUUUAUUCAAGAAAGAAAAUUGCACUAAUUUGCCAUCCUUUAUAGUAUUAUAAAAUUAACGGUUAGUUAAUUGAAGUUUUUAAUUAUUAGCGCUAAACAACACAAAACCCAAUGAAACAAUCACUUGACAGUUGUGCAUGUUUGUAGAGAUAAUGUUUUGUAUGGCUAUUAUCAAGCUUGUCAAUAACGCCUUAAGAUCUGCUUUGUACAAUGUGUUAAUGGAAUGAUGCUUACAAGUGACCCAGUUUCCCUGUUUUUCUGUAGCUGCAAAGGUGGAUCAGUUCACUCUUGUUGUAUUGACCCCCUCUUGGCACUCUCCUGGUGUUUUAUUCAUAAGCAGAAAGGCAUUUGGAGAUGGAUUGUAUCUCUCGAUAGGGAUAGGUUACAGUGAGGGAUCAUGUUAGGGUGAGUCCCUAGCACUGCUUGAAAGCUGGACCAGUAACUGACUGCUGUUGUUUUUUUUUUUUAACACACGCACAACCCUCUGUUGUUAAUGUGAGUGGACGUUGGGAGUAGGUCCCUGAAGGUGAGGUUGUGCUCCAUGUAUUUUAGUUCUGGUCCUGUCUGAUCUACAUGGGAGAGAAUGUGAGGCUUUUCAAACCAGUGAAAACUUUCCUUUAUUGGUAACUGUAUGAUCUGUUUUUGUUUUGUGAUUAUGGAAAAAGGCUUUAUGACCCCUGUAUAAAGUAGCCCUGUUGGUCUGAUCUUGUAUGACUGAGGUAAAUAGACUGGAUGGGAUGGUGUUGUUGCCAGGCACUAGAGAUGCAUAAUUAAAUCAGGAAGAUGAGAAUGGUUAAAAGUUUUAAUGGAGUUGUGUAUUUUCAGAUUUGACAUUUGUAUUUUGGCACUAAAGUUACUGCUUUUUACGUGACAUUUGACCAGUUUUAAAAGAAACAGCAUCCUUUUUUUAAAGUAUAAAAUCUGCAAAAUAUAUGCAAUGAUGUUUAUGUAAUAUUCAAUCCUCAAAUAUAAUCCAGUACCCUACACCUACCUGAACUUUACAAAGCAUUAAUAACUAUUGUUGCAUUUUUUUUAAUUUUUUUUGUACCCUUUUUGAAUAAAAUAGAUUUGUACUGUAUAUUUGUACCGCUGUGAACUACUUAAGGCUGUUUUGUUUUUGUUUUGCUGUUUUAAUUCUAUGUACUUAAGGACACAAAGAUAUUGUAUUUUUAUUGUUACAGCUAACUUCUUGG
RNAcentral lists this long non-coding RNA (3521 nucleotides) under Salmo salar (Atlantic salmon). Its description in RNAcentral is "lncRNA (ENSSSAG00000106304.1)". The record is from RNAcentral. Lineage: Eukaryota; Metazoa; Chordata; Actinopteri; Salmoniformes; Salmonidae.